RNAcentral lists this transfer RNA (64 nucleotides) under Tetanops sintenisi. RNAcentral describes it as "tRNA-Phe". Lineage: Eukaryota; Metazoa; Arthropoda; Insecta; Diptera; Ulidiidae. The record is from RNAcentral.
AUUCAAAUAGCUUAAACUAGAGCAUGACAUUGAAGAUGUUAGGGUGGUCAUUGAUCUUUGGAUA